AAAAAAAGAACACAAGUAUGAUUAAUAAAUGCUCCCUGCUGGCCCGGACCGUUUGUACUUAAAUCCGCUGAGACGUAGGUGCUGGACCUCCUGCUCAGCCGAGGUUCGAUGUCGCCGCCACCGCAGCUGACCUGAGAUUGGUUCAGAUGGAGACAAGGUCUGCUUCACUGUGCAAUUUCAAGCCGGUCGUAUAGAUCUCUUCCAACUUGUCAAUUCCCAGAAUAAGGAAAGGUAAAACUUGUCAUUUCCCCAGAUAUAUAGGGCAAUAGCUAGGAGACUGGUUGAGAAUUGGUUUGGGAGCGUCAAGUAAUGUUAUUUCAGACUCAAAGAUUUUACCUUUGAGACUCCGAUAUCGACUGAAAGGUCUCCAUUUUUAAUAUCAGUUGCACAAGCAUGUCCGCAGAGAGGCAUAUUUUUCAUAGCACGGUGUCUCAAGUACCGGUACCAAUAUUGGACGAGGGAGAAGGGACUCUGGUCAUACUACGUCUUCUCAAACAAAGCCGGUUUUGGUAUGAUAAUCCACGAGACUUCACACAGGAUGGUGAACCAACCCUCGUAGAUGAACAGGCACUUCUUGUCCGACCUGGCCCAGCCAAAUUAAAGUUUAUUGCAGAGCAUCUUUUGCGUAUGGGUGUCCCACCAGAAGAACAUGAAGCUAUUCUUCAGAAAUUCAUUCAGAGGUAUCUUGUACCGAUUGACGACACCCCCCAUUAUGUGCCAUAUACUGUGAAUAUAUUGGACAUCAGUGUGUCCUUGUUGGGUAGUGCUGACUAUCAUGAGAUUGUUGAUUGGGUGGCACAAGAACACAUCGUAUAUGAGGACCAUUGGGGUACAAAUAAGCUCAAAUUUGUUCCUGCAAGUAGAUCUUGGAUCAAGAGUUUGAAGAAAAUAAAACUUGAUACUUUGGAAGUAGAUCUUGGAUCAUGUGCUAUUUGUCUCGACGACUUUGCAAACUGUGUUGAUCAACUGGUUACUACCUUACCCUGUAAACACCAGUAUCAUGUCGAUUGCAUUGUCCAGUCCCUGGAGAUCAGUCACCUUUGUCCCUUGUGCCGAUACCCAAUGCCAACUGUGGAAGCGGAUGAGCAAUAAACAGUCUAGGGGCUCAACUGGAUCAACCACUAAGGAUGACUCGGCUAUGGAAGCGAGAGCUAAUCCUUCCGACUGUAUUUUAGUCAUUUAUCGUUUCACCAGAAAAAAAAAAAUGAAAGGGAGAGUUAAUCCUCCCGACUGUAUUUUAUAGCAAUUCCUUUGUUUACCAGAAAGAAUCCAUCGGACUGUAUCUUAUUUUGACUUUGGCAGAAGGAUUUUGAUUAUUUCUUUGAAGGUUAAUCCUUCUGAUUUGAGGAAAGAGUUUCUGGUUA
Molecule: RNA transcript, 1364 nt
Organism: Rosa chinensis
Lineage: Eukaryota; Viridiplantae; Streptophyta; Magnoliopsida; Rosales; Rosaceae
Exons: 4
Source: RefSeq, a predicted model, not a curated record